RNAcentral lists this ribosomal RNA (484 nucleotides) under uncultured bacterium. RNAcentral's name for it is "partial 16S ribosomal RNA". It matches the Rfam family "Bacterial small subunit ribosomal RNA", at positions 30 to 507 of the family's 1533-position model. The record is from RNAcentral.
AUUGAACGCUAGCGGGAUGCUUUACACAUGCAAGUCGAACGGCAGCGCGGACUUCGGUCUGGCGGCGAGUGGCGAACGGGUGAGUAAUGUAUCGGAACGUGCCCAGUAGCGGGGGAUAACUACGCGAAAGCGUAGCUAAUACCGCAUACGCCCUACGGGGGAAAGCAGGGGAUCGUAAGACCUUGCACUAUUGGAGCGGCCGAUAUCGGAUUAGCUAGUUGGUGAGGUAACGGCUCACCAAGGCGACGAUCCGUAGCUGGUUUGAGAGGAAGAGCAGCCACACUGGGACUGAGACACGGCCCAGACUCCUACGGGAGGCAGCAGUGGGGAAUUUUGGACAAUGGGGGCAACCCUGAUCCAGCCAUCCCGCGUGUGCGAUGAAGGCCUUCGGGUUGUAAAGCACUUUUGGCAGGAAAGAAACGUCGCGGGCUAAUACCCCGUGGAACUGACGGUACCUGCAGAAUAAGCACCGGCUAACUACGUG